AUUGGAUAUAUUCAUAUUUGGCCAAAAAAUUAAUCAAGAAACUGCACUUACAGUAUCUGCAACAUCAUCUAAUUCAUCAACUAUCAUCUCAUUUUUGAAAAGCAAUUUAAGGUAUGGAAGUACUUUAGGAAGCACAGGCAAAUCUGCUAUGUUAAUACUCAUCAUGUCAAAUGCAAUGCAGGUUUUGUGCAUGUGUGUCUC
Molecule: unclassified non-coding RNA, 201 nt
Filed under: Hevea brasiliensis (rubber tree)
Lineage: Eukaryota; Viridiplantae; Streptophyta; Magnoliopsida; Malpighiales; Euphorbiaceae
Source: RNAcentral